GACAGAGGUGCCGAGCGUUAGGCGGAAUCACUGGGCUUAAAGCGUGUGUAGGCGGACCUGUAAGUACCUUGUGAAAUCCCACGGCUCAACCGUGGAACUGCUGGGUAUACUGCGGGUCUUGAGCCACCUAGGGGCGAGCGGAACAAGUGGUGGAGCGGUGAAAUGCGUAGAUAUCUACAGGAACUCCGGUGGCGAAAGCGGCGUGCUGGAUCUCUUCUGACGCUGAGGCGCGAAAGCUAGGGGAGCAAACGGG
Molecule: ribosomal RNA, 253 nt
Filed under: uncultured bacterium
Lineage: Bacteria
Description: partial 16S ribosomal RNA
Rfam family: Bacterial small subunit ribosomal RNA
Source: RNAcentral